GCCAGGUGUGGUGGCGUGUGCCUGUGGUCCCAGCUACUCAGGAGGCUGAGGUGGGGGGAUCACUUGAGCCUGGGAUGUCGAGGCUGCAGUGAUCCAAGAUUGUACCACUGCACUCCAGCCUGGGUGACAGAGUGAGACCCUGCCUCAA
This is an unclassified non-coding RNA of Pongo abelii (Sumatran orangutan), 148 nucleotides long. It matches the Rfam family "Metazoan signal recognition particle RNA". From Rfam's summary of the family: The signal recognition particle (SRP) is a universally conserved ribonucleoprotein. It is involved in the co-translational targeting of proteins to membranes. Lineage: Eukaryota; Metazoa; Chordata; Mammalia; Primates; Hominidae. The record is from Ensembl.